AGAAAGGUAAGCUAAAUUAAGCUACCAGGUUCAUACCCUGUUUAUAGAGAUAUAUCCUCUCCUCUCUA
RNAcentral lists this transfer RNA (68 nucleotides) under Eurydema maracandica. RNAcentral's name for it is "tRNA-Met". The record is from RNAcentral. Lineage: Eukaryota; Metazoa; Arthropoda; Insecta; Hemiptera; Pentatomidae.